AGUCGAGCGAGGAGAUAGCUGGAAGUCCUACGGGAUGGAAGGUUAUGUUCGAGCGGCGGACGGGUGAGUAACGCGUGAACAAUCUGUCCCAUGCAGGGGGAUAACACUUGGAAACAGGUGCUAAUACCGCAUAAGACCACGGAGGGGCAUCCCUUUGGGGUAAAAGGAGGAAUCCGGAAUGGGGUGAGUUCGCGUCCGAUUAGCUAGUUGGUGGGGUAAAGGCUCACCAAGGCGACGAUCGGUAGCCGACCUGAGAGGGUGAACGGCCACAUUGGAACUGAGAGACGGUCCAAACUCCUACGGGAGGCAGCAGUGGGGAAUAUUGGGCAAUGGGCGAAAGCCUGACCCAGCAACGCCGCGUGAGGGAAGAAGGUUUUCGGAUUGUAAACCUCUGUCCUUGGUGACGAAGGAAGUGACGGUAGCCAAGGAGGAAGCCCCGGCUAACUACGUGCCAGCAGCCGCGGUAAUACGUAGGGGGCAAGCGUUGUCCGGAAUGACUGGGCGUAAAGGGCGUGUAGGCGGCCGAUUAAGUAUGGAGUGAAAGUCCAUUUUUCAAGGAUGGAAUUGCUUUGUAGACUGGUUGGCUUGAGUGCGGAAGAGGUAAGUGGAAUUCCCAGUGUAGCGGUGAAAUGCGUAGAGAUUGGGAGGAACACCAGUGGCGAAGGCGACUUACUGGGCCGUAACUGACGCUGAGGCGCGAAAGCGUGGGGAGCGAACAGGAUUAGAUACCCUGGUAGUCC
This 740-nucleotide ribosomal RNA is filed under the name uncultured bacterium. RNAcentral describes it as "bacterial SSU rRNA". It matches the Rfam family "Bacterial small subunit ribosomal RNA", at positions 60 to 796 of the family's 1533-position model. The record is from RNAcentral.